UCCCAAAGUGUGUGUUAAGUGGAAAAGGAUGUGGGAUUUCAUAGACAACUAGGAUGUUGGCUUAGAAGCAGCCAUACAUUUAAAGAGUGCGUAAUAGCUCACUAGUCGAGAGAACCUGCGCCGAAAAUAAUCGGGGCUAAAACACACCACCGAAGCUACGGAUUUCCUGCUUAAGGUAGGAAGUGGUAGAGGAGCAUACUGCAAGGACGAAGCCUGAUUGAGAGAGAAGGUGGACGAAGCAGUAGAGAGAAUGCCGGAAUGAGUAGCGAGAUAUAUGUGAGAACCAUAUAGGCCGAAUAUCUAAGGAUUCCUGAGUGAAGCUAAUCUGCUCAGGGUAAGUCGGGACCUAAGGCGAGGACGAGAGUCGUAGUCGAUGGACAACUGGUAGAGAUUCCAGUACUAUGUAUAAUCAGAACUGUGGGGACGCAGGAGGAUAGAUGGACCGCGGAAAGGGAAGACGCGGCCAAGUACAAAGUCAAGUUAGGUAGGCAAAUCCGCCAAACGAUGAUGAAGUACGACGGGGACUGAAAGAAAGUAAGGAAGUCAUUGAAUCCACACUGCCGAGAAAAGCCGCUAUAGUGUUAUACAUACCCGUACCGUAAACCGACACAGGUAGAUGAGGAGAAAAUCCACAGGCCGACGGAAGAAGUAUUGUUAAGGAACUCGGCAAAAUGACCCCGUAACUUAGGGAGAAGGGGAGCCACGAGAGUGGUCACAGAAAAGAGGCUCAAGCAACUGUUUAGCAAAAACACAGGUCUCUGCGAAACCGAAAGGUGAAGUAUAGGGGCUGACACCUGCCCGGUGCUGGAAGGUUAAAAGGAGAGGUUAGCCGCAAGGCGAAGCUUUGAAUUCAAGCCCCAGUAAACGGCGGCCGUAACUAUAACGGUCCUAAGGUAGCGAAAUUCCUUGUCAGGUAAGUUCUGACCCGCACGAAAGGUGUAAUGAUUUGAGCACUGUCUCGACAACACGCCCGGUGAAAUUGAAGAACCAGUGAAGAUACUGGUUACCCGCAACAGGACGGAAAGACCCCAUGGAGCUUUACUGCAGCCUGAUACUGGGAUUCGAUGAUGUAUGUACAGGAUAGGAGGGAGACAGAGAAGGUAGGACGCCAGUCUUGCCGGAGUCGCCGGUGGGAUACCUCUCUUACAUCAUUGGAUUUCUAACCUGCAUCCGUGAACCGGAUGAGGGACAAUGUCAGGCGGGCAGUUUGACUGGGGCGGUCGCCUCCAAAAGAGUAACGGAGGCGCUCAAAGGUCUUCUCAGAAUGAUUGGAAACCAUUCAAAGAGUGUAAAGGCAAAAGAAGGCUUGACUGCGAGGUCGACGGACCGAGCAGGUACGAAAGUAGGACUUAGUGAUCCGGUGGUAUUACGUGGGAAUGCCAUCGCUCAACGGAUAAAAGCUACCCUGGGGAUAACAGGCUGAUCUCCCCCAAGAGUUCACAUCGACGGGGAGGUUUGGCACCUCGAUGUCGGCUCAUCGCAUCCUGGGGCUGAAGUAGGUCCCAAGGGA
Molecule: ribosomal RNA, 1510 nt
Filed under: human gut metagenome
Description: bacterial LSU rRNA
Rfam family: Bacterial large subunit ribosomal RNA
Source: RNAcentral